CUCUCAAGUAGCUGGGACUAUAGGCACAUGCCACCACACCCAGCUAUUUCAGAUGGGAAAGCUGACACCAUGGUCAACAAUGAAGAAGCAUUUAUUAAUCGACUUGGGGUGGUCUGGCUUUUACAUUGAAGCCCUCCUCCUCCACCUCCUCCUCCUCCCUUUCUCUAUGCCUCUCCCAACCUCCAUCAUUUUCAAGAGUCUGAGAGGAUCUAUGGAAUCAGCAGAGCUGGAUGUCACCAGGGAGAUGGCACAGGAAGGAAGAAAGGCAUCUUGGGAAGUAUAUAAAGAAGUCGUUUCACAGCUUACAGAGGCACAACCACAAUUCUCCCUCAGACCUCAGACUUAGAACUUUGUGCCUGUGAAGUAUAAUAACCAUAGGAAAUUGUCAAAGGUUGUUACACUUUGCUAAGAAACCCUAGAUCCUGCUACACUCCAUGUGGGUGGAGAGAACUGGCUGCCCCAGGUCCGCGGACCUACUCUGCUAUUUGGCAUUCAUGUGAGCAUGAACAAGCACCUAGUUCAGACUUCAUUUUCCCAUCUACAAAAUAAAGACAAGAACACAGACCU
Molecule: long non-coding RNA, 567 nt
Organism: Homo sapiens (human)
Lineage: Eukaryota; Metazoa; Chordata; Mammalia; Primates; Hominidae
Gene: GALNTL6-AS3
Product: GALNTL6 antisense RNA 3
Exons: 3
Source: RefSeq, a predicted model, not a curated record